Hevea brasiliensis (rubber tree) is the source of this 2104-nucleotide long non-coding RNA. RefSeq lists it as uncharacterized. The record is from RefSeq and is a predicted model, not a curated record. The transcript is spliced from 2 exons. Lineage: Eukaryota; Viridiplantae; Streptophyta; Magnoliopsida; Malpighiales; Euphorbiaceae.
AAGAAGCUUGAAAUGAAUCACUUGGUAAUUGGAUUAAACAUUGCUUGCUUUAGUUAGGGGAAUGGAGAGGAAUACCCUCAUGGGGUCAUGGAUUGGCUCCAAUAAUGGCUUAAACAUUGCUCCUGAUUUUUGUGUUAAGCUUCUUCAUCAUCUUAUUUCCCUUUUUCUCCCCUAAUUUUUGUAAGGAAGUUCUUCAUCAGUUGUAUUCAUUUUCAGAAGAAGUGAAGGCUAAACAUCCCAAGAUUAUACUUAUGCAGACCUAUACUGGGUGAUUAUUUAUGGUGUUUAUAAAUUGGUGACUGUUAGUGCUAAUGCUAUUAACACAUGAUUCAAGUUAUUUGUUUCUCUCUUCCUCUCUCUCUUUUUAGUUUAAAUAUUGCAUGUUUUAGAAUUAAUGUUGAAUUUUGAGAGUUUGUGAAAGCUGAAAUGGGCAAGAGUUUAGAUUGAGAAUUUAGGGUUUGUGAAAGGACGAAACUGAGAAGGGAAAUUGAAUAAGAAGAAAAGAUUUGUGGGCUAUGAACAUUAAAAUAAAAAGUUUAAAAGUGUAUAGAUUUGGGAAAUGAUGACAAAGGGCUUCCAAGAUGUAAGCUUCCGCUAUUUGCAACCAAAGGGAAGGAGUAGCAACCAAAUGGAAGGAAAUAUCAGAGGGGAUCCUUAGCUCUAACAAGUGUUCCACUCUGAUAGCUAAGUUAGAAGUACGUAUCUGAGCAUGACACAGCAAAUCACCGUAAUAUGCUUGAUUGCAUAUCUGGUUGACGCCUAUUUAUAUCUGAUGAGUCAUGAAUUGUAUUAGACUUUUCUUAUUGUUUAACCAUAUAUUUCAUAAUGAUCUAUUAAAUAUAAUCCUGUCAUAUACGAGCAACUUGAUCUUUUUAGAAGACUGUUUUCCUCAUGCCGGACUCUGACAUGACAGCCCUAAGAAAUCAAGACUUGACAUCUGAGCCAUAUGAUCUGCAUACCAAACGCUCAUUAUACUUAUCAAAUGUCUUCAAUUUAUAAUUGUAAUUUCCUUAAGAGCUAGUGAAAUUGCAUUGGUGCUAACAGAGAUGGAUCUUCAACUAUUGCGCGAAAUAUUGCAUUCCGGUGGAUCAUCAAAUAAGAUUGUUGCCUCAUUCCUUUAGAGCUAAUGGUGAUACUAGAAAAAGAUGGCAUCGUUAUUUACGAACAAGAUCUGAUGUAGGACUCUGUUUUCCCUUACAAGAGCUUCAUGAUCAAAAUUUUAAAGGAUACAGACUCAUCACCCAGCUAGUGGGGACCAAAUGCCAGGAGGAGUAUUACCGGUUUGGCCGUUCUUUCCAUUUUGCACGAAAUUCCCCUAAAUCAGAGAAUUAUAAUUAGUAAGAUGUUCUACCAUGGAAAGAGAGCCGAUGGAGAUUAUUGACACUUACCUGCUUGGCUGGGUUGCGAUAUAUUUUCUGGAGUAUACUCCGCAAUUAAUAAAGAAUUGGCAAGAUAAAUUCUUUAUUGUGACAAGGCCUGAAGGGCUUGGUUUGCCCAAUCGAGGUGGGUGAUAUCAACCAAAGAUAUUUUGAAAGAGAGGGAGCUGAGCAAAGUGAUUGGAAGGGUCUCCUGAGCCAAUCAGUCUUGAUGGAGGAGAGCAAGAAAUGGUUGAGGUGGAGAGAAUCCGAGCCAUGGCCAACUGGAACAGAUCGACAAUAACCUCAAGUUGAGCCUAUGGAGCCUGGUGAUGCCAUUCUAGAGCCAGCAGAACCUGUUAAGGCAGCUGAUGUCUCAUAGCCUCAAUAUAGCGUUGAGUUAUUUUUAAUCCCCUUCCAACCUGAUUGGUGUCUUCUCAUGCAAGUUGGUGUGGUAUAGAACUACUGAUUUGGUGAAAUUGAAGCUCUGCCUUAUCAUUUCAGUGUAAUUUUAUAAUGAUUUUUUCUCAGAAAAUUGACUGUUUAAAUGUUAGUUAUUUAAAUCUUGGCUCUUCAAAGGUAGUUUACAAUAAUUACUACCUCUUCUUGUAGCCAUUUAAAAACUGUUCUGUGCUAGGGAAAGCUUGUUUCUUGCCCUACUUCUUGAAUUAAAAUCAUUUGUAAUAUGUCAUGUUGUUUUUCUUAAUGCAAAAUUUAAUGGGAGGCAGGAUAAGGAGGCAUUCUUUGGA